Molecule: ribosomal RNA, 472 nt
Filed under: uncultured organism
Description: partial 16S ribosomal RNA
Rfam family: Bacterial small subunit ribosomal RNA
Source: RNAcentral
UACACUCCUGCGGGAGGCAGCAGUGGGGAAUAUUGCACAAUGGGCGCAAGCCUGAUGCAGCCAUGCCGCGUGUAUGAAGAAGGCCUUCGGGUUGUAAAGUACUUUCAGCGGGGAGGAAGGCGAUAAGGUUAAUAACCUUGUCGAUUGACGUUACCCGCAGAAGAAGCACCGGCUAACUCCGUGCCAGCAGCCGCGGUAAUACGGAGGGUGCAAGCGUUAAUCGGAAUUACUGGGCGUAAAGCGCACGCAGGCGGUCUGUCAAGUCGGAUGUGAAAUCCCCGGGCUCAACCUGGGAACUGCAUUCGAAACUGGCAGGCUAGAGUCUUGUAGAGGGGGGUAGAAUUCCAGGUGUAGCGGUGAAAUGCGUAGAGAUCUGGAGGAAUACCGGUGGCGAAGGCGGCCCCCUGGACAAAGACUGACGCUCAGGUGCGAAAGCGUGGGGAGCAAACAGGAUUAGAAACCCCGGUAGUCC